ACAGUCUGAAAAUUACCCCAGAUAUGUCAGUUGUCUAGGGUAAGAUAACUGUGCCUACAGGAUUGCGGUACAUUAAGCUUAUUGCAUGCUUUUGUAGUAGUGCAAUGAAACCCAUGUACCUACAGUU
Small nucleolar RNA from Megalops cyprinoides (Indo-Pacific tarpon), 127 nucleotides. RefSeq annotates it as small nucleolar RNA ACA64. The record is from RefSeq and is a predicted model, not a curated record. The transcript has a single exon. NCBI's taxonomy places the organism in Eukaryota, Metazoa, Chordata, Actinopteri, Elopiformes, Megalopidae.